This 395-nucleotide long non-coding RNA is filed under the name Homo sapiens (human). RNAcentral's name for it is "non-protein coding lnc-ST3GAL6-1:2". The record is from RNAcentral. Lineage: Eukaryota; Metazoa; Chordata; Mammalia; Primates; Hominidae.
AUUCUACAAGGAGUUGUUGAGCACCUGCUGUCUAUCUACAGAAAUCUUGAAAUGUGGAACAGAGAUGGAAAUAUAGCAUGCAAGUCAGAAUGAAUUGCCAAACAAUGACAGAAGGCUGCUCUGAAAUGAUCAAAAUUUUCUCCUGGGACCUCACACCAAAGGAAUAUAAUAGGCAUUCAUUUCUAAGACAAUGCGGCAUUCUCAUAAUCUUAAACUCUGGUGAAAACAGAAAAUUAUUGUCAGUGAACAUCUACUAAAUACAGACAGGUCCUGGACUUUGGUUUCUCUUCUGGUAAAGUGAGAACAGUGUCUCCCAUUAGCCAAAAUAAGCAGAGGUCAGUGAAAUAACAAUGUAACACCAAGACAUGGUGCACUUCUCAGGUGAAAACUUUUAU